RNAcentral lists this ribosomal RNA (536 nucleotides) under Campylobacter fetus subsp. testudinum. RNAcentral's name for it is "bacterial SSU rRNA". It matches the Rfam family "Bacterial small subunit ribosomal RNA", at positions 999 to 1533 of the family's 1533-position model. Lineage: Bacteria; Pseudomonadati; Campylobacterota; Epsilonproteobacteria; Campylobacterales; Campylobacteraceae. The record is from RNAcentral.
CUUAGAGAUAAGAGAGUGCUAGCUUGCUAGAAAGUUGAGACAGGUGCUGCACGGCUGUCGUCAGCUCGUGUCGUGAGAUGUUGGGUUAAGUCCCGCAACGAGCGCAACCCACGUAUUUAGUUGCUAACAGUUUGGCUGAGCACUCUAAAUAGACUGCCUUCGUAAGGAGGAGGAAGGUGUGGACGACGUCAAGUCAUCAUGGCCCUUAUGCCCAGGGCGACACACGUGCUACAAUGGCAUAUACAAUGAGAUGCAAUAUCGCGAGAUGGAGCAAAUCUAUAAAAUAUGUCUCAGUUCGGAUUGCUCUCUGCAACUCGAGAGCAUGAAGCCGGAAUCGCUAGUAAUCGUAGAUCAGCCAUGCUACGGUGAAUACGUUCCCGGGUCUUGUACUCACCGCCCGUCACACCAUGGGAGUUGAUUUCACUCGAAGUCGGAAUGCUAAAUUAGCUACCGCCCACAGUGGAAUCAGCGACUGGGGUGAAGUCGUAACAAGGUAACCGUAGGAGAACCUGCGGUUGGAUCACCUCCUUUCUAGA